Arabidopsis lyrata subsp. lyrata is the source of this 2483-nucleotide long non-coding RNA. RefSeq lists it as uncharacterized. NCBI's taxonomy places the organism in Eukaryota, Viridiplantae, Streptophyta, Magnoliopsida, Brassicales, Brassicaceae. The record is from RefSeq and is a predicted model, not a curated record. The transcript has 10 exons.
GCGAUUUUCCUUGUGCCUCGGUGCGCAUCGCACCAUUGCGCGCCUAUGGCGCGCUUUUUUUAACUAAGGUUGUACCUAAACUGAAUAGAUCGUCUAUUUGCAAUAACCACUUGUUUACAAUCAAAUAAGGUAAUACCGUCUUAACACUUGUUGAAUUAAUAUCAUUCGAACAAAGCUAGACAUAGGGGCUUAGUUACUUAUGUUGAAUAAAUAUUUGCUCAGAACCGAGUAGCAAGCAGAGUUAUUAAAGGAGAGUUCAAUCAGGUUUUGCUCAUUUGAUUUCAGUCUCUCAUCAUCUUGUUAUUAAAGAACUAGAUAAGAUGCGUAAUUUGACUUGUUAUUGAGUGUCUGUAUUUGUGAACAUUGAAAUUUUAAGAUGUCUUUUUGUUCUGUACAGGCAGUGUAUUGAGUGGUGGUGGGAUUGCUCGACUUCCUAAGGCAAGUGUUCUAGUUAGUCGUUUGGAAAUUCCUAUGAUAUAUGGCAUUGAUGCCAUUCACGAGCAUGAUAAUGUCUAUAACGCUACUAUUUUCCCUCACAAUGUUUGUCUUAGAGCCACCAGGCACGUAUUAGCUGAUAUGUUUCUUUGAUUUUGCAUAUUCGAGCUGGAAUGGUGAGAAGAUGCAUGCAAAUACUUAUCACAGGGUAUCUUAAGGGUAGCCUUAAGUUUAAGAAUAUGAUUACUGGAGCGGCACAAAAAUGGAUGGUGGAAUUCUUGUGGUUUUAGGUCCAGAUGGACCCAUGCCACAGACAAAAGAACAUAUCCUACUUACACGCCAGGUUGGUAUUUCCUCACUUGUGUGCUUCUUGAACAAAGUUGAUGUGGUGGAUGAUCCUAAGCUGUUGGAGCUUGUCGAGAUGGAACUACGAGAACUCCUCAGCUUCUACAAUUUUCCUGGGGAUGAUAUUCCCAUCAUCCGAGGAUCUGCUUGUACGCAUUACAAGGCACCAAUGAUGAAAUUGGAAGGCAAGCUAUAUUAAAGCUAAUGGAUGCUGUUGAUGAAUACAUACCUGACCCUGUUCGCGUGCUUGACAAGGCUUUCUUGAUGCCAAUUGAAGAUGUUUUCUCAAUUCAAGGACGUGGAACUGUUGCAACCGGUCGUAUUGAAUAGGGAACCAUUAAAGUGGGUGAAGAAGUUGAGAUAUUGGGUUUACGUGAGGGGCUUCCACUGAAAUCGACUGUAACUGGAGUUGAGAUGUUCAAGAAUAAAGCCAAUAUCAAGAGAUUACAAAUAAAAGUUGUGGGCAUGUAAGAUACUGAUUAAACCUUGGCUUCUAUUAUGCUAGGCUGGUGACCAUGUAGGGCUUCUUUUGCGGGGGCUAAAGAGAGCAGACAUUCAGCGUGGAAUGGUGAUUGCUAAGCCUAGUUCAUGCAAGACAUACAAAAAGUUUGAAGCAGAGAAUUACGUGCUCACAAAUUAAAUUCUUCCUUAGUGUUUUAUUAUUUCGGAUUGGCAAGGUGUUGAUAAGAUUUCCUCACCACCGCAUACACACUACACAGCUUCCGUCCGAGCUGCAAUUCAAGCUGGUCAUUGUCCCUAUCUUAUGUCCUUGGUGAAGAACAAAGCAAUUCCUAUCACUCGGAUUGAUGAUGCUGUCGGAAGAUUCCUGCUUGUCAAGUUCACCAUGGGUCUUUUUGAGAACCCUUUGGCUGAUUACAGUUUUAUCCAAUGAAUUAGGAAUCUGUUGCAAGUACUACUACAAAAUCUUGAUGGAAUGUUCUUAAUUUCUAUUAGGCACACAGAGACUUGGCAAAGGGGGCUGUUAUAAAAUCCUUUGUGCUGCUGAAAAACGGGAACAAAACCAAUCCUAUGCUCCCACUUCCCAGGAACACUUCAAACUUUUUAUUUCGCAGUGAUCUGCAGUUAUUUAGAACAAUCCUACAAGAUUCACCGCAGUAGCACCAGGCCCGGCUCUAUACAUGUGCCCUAGGUGCUCAUGCACAGGGUCCUUGUAAUUUUGUGUCUUCUAUCAUAACUAAAUUUACUAAAAUUAGGGUCCAAAAUUUUUUUUCUUUUGUAAUUUUUUUUCAGCUCAGGGUCCUUAAAUUUUUUGAGCCGGCCCUGAGUAGCACCAUUAAAUCAUUUUUUAUGUAAGGCUUUUGUUUUUUGGCGUCAAAUAUUUAUGUUAGGACAUCUUUUGAUUUGUACCUAUAUUUUGUUGCUAAGAUAUCCACAGAAUUCACAAGGAUGGCAUGAACCUUUGAUGUACCCAUUUAGUCAGCAACCUUGACGUACAUUGGGUAUAAUUGAUAUUACAGAUUGCGGCGGUGUGGAAGUUUCUUCACGGGUCGAAAGGAAUAGUUGUAUUACAGACGAAAAAUGGCUUUGUCGUGCAGUAACAUCAGAAUUGAAGAAAACUACAGGAGAUUUUGCUGAAGGAGCUUGGGCUGGUGCUGCCCAUUAUCUCCUCUGGUAUAUGCUUGCAAGCCACGUAAGCGUCUCUUGUACAUAUAACUCUUCUUAAUUAGGUUUUGAGACAUUUA